Molecule: long non-coding RNA, 972 nt
Organism: Rhinichthys klamathensis goyatoka
Lineage: Eukaryota; Metazoa; Chordata; Actinopteri; Cypriniformes; Leuciscidae
Exons: 3
Source: RefSeq, a predicted model, not a curated record
CAGAACAGCAUAAAAUACACUUAGCAUUAAGCUAACAACCACUCAAAAUCCUUCAAGAACAUAGAAGCAAAAACAGAAGUUUAAAUAGCACUGUUAUCUUUUUAAUUUCAAGCUUUGGAGCAAAAUUCUGAUCUAAACCAGCCUUUCUUUUCAAUUAUAAGCAGAACUUGCUCAAAACAACAUGGCUAACUCAUUCCAGAUUGGCAGGCAGGAGAGAACUGCUAAUGCCACUUUACUCUCACACAGGAGCAUUGUGUGCCAAUUUACGACAUUUUACACCACAGAAAUUUAAGCUUUGUGGUCAAAACAGAGCGUUUCUGGACGUAGUGUACUCGAUGCGAACUGCAGAUGUAAACAAGUGAAUCAGUGAAACUAUGCAUAGGGCAACAGAAAAACGGGCUUUAUCCUCGAAGGUAAACAGUGAGGGAAAAUAUCUUCUAUCUUCCCUGUUUUUCUUCCAACCAAACAGAUGAGCAGUCAAUUAGCGACGUCAUCAUGAUGGAGGCAGAUGUGAGGCAGUCGACGGAAUCUAAAUAUUUGCCCAUGACUUAUUUCGUGUCCUCGCUGAUCUUUCAUUUUUGUUCCGUUCUUUGAACCAUUUCUUCUUCUUUGUUUUUCAGGGUUGUUGCUGUUGGAUGUUGCUGAAGUUUGUCAGGUUUACGACCUUUCCAGUCCUACUCCUUAAAGGUAUAGUGUGCCGAGGAUUACAGUCUCAACGUGUCUCACUCAAUCUCUCACAGUCUGCACAUCAGCCGCUGCGUUUACUCUGAGAUGAAGCAUCUUGAGUGGGUCGUAAUCCCACCAAACAGCACAAAUCACUAGUGUGAGUGAAGAAUGACCGUCUCACACGCUGCACUGUAUCCUGACACUGCAUAUGAUGCCAUCCUCUAUAACAACUCUUUAUAGGUCAGAGCUGCAGUUUAUAUCAGAGGUCCUGAAUGAAACUCAACUCUAUACCUCAGAUACCUGCGC